UAGAAAGCACUACUCCAAGUGGAGGAAAUGAAGGGUGGGUUUCUGAUAAUAUUAACAAAGGUCAUUUCGACAAGUAUUAUUGGGUUAUAGUUGGAAUUAAUGCUCUAAAUCUAUUGUAUUACUUAGUAUGCAGUUGGGCUUAUGGACCUACAGUUGAUGAAGUAUCCAAUGUGAGUAAAGAAAAUGGUUCCAAAGUGGAAGAAUCAACUGAAUUCAAGCAUAUGAAUCCACACUUUGAUGACAAGGUUAGUGGUGAAACUAGUUCAAAGGAGAAAGAGUUAACUGAAUUCAAGAAUGGGGCCCAGGUUGAGAAAGUAUUCAAGAAUAGUGAACAAAGGGACUUGAAGGAGGAAGAUUUGUGAUAGAAGGCUUAUAUUUCGUCCAAUUCAUUUGGAGAAAUGUUAUAAACGCUUUUUUUAACACUCCUAACACCUCAUCUUUUAUUUGAUGAAAUUCACGUGGGACUCAUCAUUGUAUGAGGGAUUCAUUUUUAAAGCGUGGGAUCAACAUGUGUUUCAUCCAAUAAUAAAAUGGUGUUAGAGAGUGUUAGAAGAAUGUGUCCAUAACACUUCUCAUUCAUGAAUCUUUUUUAGGAAUUUUAGUUAGCAUAUUUUUUAUUUUAUUUUGGUAUAUUGUUAGUUAUUUUUGAAUUCUUAGGUUCUAAGAUUUUCUUAUGGGCUUUAAGAUUAUGACACAUGGAUGUGAUCAUUUAUUUAGAUUAGUAAGUAUUGUUAAUAAAUUUGAUUUGAUAUCUUUAUCAAUAUAGCAUUUGAUAUUAUAUAUAUAUAUAUAUAUAUAUAUAUAUAUUAUUCUGUCACUUACACCUAAUUAGAAAGAAUAAUAAUGAAUACUCCAUUGUCUAAUUUAUUUAAUAUAUUUUAGGAAAGUAAAUUAUUUACAACAAGGGAUGAAAUCAAUUCUUAAUUAACUUGUCAAAAAAAUCAAUUCUUAAUUAACAUCUUCAAAUUGAUGUGGUUGGUAAAUAAGCAUCAAUUUGCUAACAAGAAAUUGAUAACACCGGUGUCAAUAACCACCUUGCUAUUAAGUAGUCAUCAUGAGUGUCACGUUGAUUGACAAACGACUUUAAUAUGAUUGGUGCAUGCGUUCAAGAAAGAAAAGACUUUCAACAACUUGGAUGAACACUUGUGUUGUUGACUUAAAGAGAUAUCGGCCAUGUUUGAGGAAAUUCAAGUUCAACCAAAAGACCUUGAAAACAAAUUAUUUGCGAACAAGCAGCAAACAUGGCACGUUUACUCAUAUUCAGUAGAAGGUUUAGAGUCUCUUGCUUUUUACUUGUCAAUGAUAUCAAAGAAGAUCCAAGAAACAUGCACAACCCAGUGACACAUUGUUGAAUGUCAGAACACCCUCCCAGAUUAGCAUCAAGUAAGCACUCUGUUUAAGAGUUAUCCAAGUGGGAAAGAAUAUUCCACACUGAGUGGUUACUUAAAGUAGCAAAUUAUACGACGGACCAUUGUCAAAUGAAGAUGAAGAGGAAUGAUGUCAGUCUGUCAUAUUAUGUGUUUAGCAGUUAUUAGGAGUCACUUCACAAUUAUUUUAACAAGUUUAGUUGAGUUUUGUAACAAAUCAAAAGAAAGAUCAUGGAAAGGGUAAUGGUGCAUACAAAACUUUGGAACCAUGGCAAAUCACCCAAAAUAGACAACUAUGUGAUCAUGCUAUACUUUUUACUUGAUGUAUCAAAUGAUCCUUAAGGAUAUAGUCACUAUGGACGCUUUGGUGAGGAAAAAUGGAUAAAGGAAUGAAGAAAAAUAGAGGAACCGACUACUAGUACAUGCAUGAUGCGUGCUAUAAGCUGCGCGAUGCACAACUUAGGAGAAAUAAAAAAUAUUUAGUCAUUGGUACAUGUGUGAUUCAUGCUAAAAGUUGUGUGUUCUGCAACUGAAAUGAAAUCAGAAGUGUUUUGCCACUAGAGAUGCGUGAUGCACAUAAGGUUAUGUGUGUUGCGCACAUACAUUUCCGUAAAUCAAGUGACACAUGAUGAUGAUGAUAGGGAUUUGUAUUCACCUAACCCUGGCUAAUCGAUUAAUAUAUUUGUCGAUCACCUUAGUUUGUUGAUGAAUUCUCUUGCGUUGAUCUACCAAGCAUUCUUCUAUGCUAGAGGCAUGAGGCAUCUCCUACUCACAAACAUCCACAUUUUUUAAUAAAAUCAAAUACAUAAUUUUUUUUUUUUGGCAAAUCAAAUACUUGUUUUUUCCACAAGGCUAAAAUAAAACCAUGAAAAAAAAAUGAACAAAAAGAGAGCUACUCUCUCAAAAAGAAAAUUCCAUCUGCAUCACUUUGGAGGAGAUUCUGGAGGUUUACCGGAGAACACUCAUGUCGAAGAAACUCGACAUCAAAAGAGGCACUAGGCUUGGCAAAAAAAAUCCGCACAUUGAUUCCCAUCCCUAAGGGUGUGAUUGACCAUAACAUUUCCCCUGCUCCAAUAACUAUUUUAUGUCUUGGAUUAAAACGGCAUAAACAUGAAACCUCAUUGGGGGACCAUGGAGGAUGUUGAGACAAUGUAAAGAGUCAGAGUAACAAACAAAAUCAGUAAUGCCUAUUUCUUUGGCCAACAAGAGACCCUUAUAUAUGACAUAUGUAACGCCCUAUUUAUUCAUUUAAAUAUUUUGGUUGAUUUUGGUUGAUUUAAAGUCUUUUAUAUGACUUAUAUGAAUUAUGUUGAUUUUGUGGUGUGUUGUAUUUUAUUAAAUGUUAUAUUUUAUUAUUUAUUAGAAUAUGUGAGAAUUAGAAAUAAUGGGAGUUAAGUUAAGGAGUUAAGAAAUUGAGAAGUCAGAAAAACAUUUCACGUGAAAACAAGUUUUUGGGGGAGAAAAAGGGAGAAGAGCCAAGUGAAGAAUCGGAGAGAUCGUAGAGCUUCGUUUGUCAGAAUUAAUGUAAGGGUGAUACUAACUUUCAAUAAUUAUAGUGUAUGUAAAUUCUGAAAUUGAUUUAACAUGAUGGUUGUUCUUGGUUUUGGGAAUUAGGUUUUCCAUUGUUGAAUUUGAUUAGAAAAGUGUAGAAACCAUGGCAAUUGUGUUAAGAAUUGAUGUUCAAGUUGUAGAAUAAUCAUAGGUUAAGUUUCCUAUCAAAUUUGGGUUCAUGAAAAUUGGGAUUUUCGCUUGAAAGGUCGGUGUCUAAACGUUUUUGCAAAUAAGUGAUUAUGUGAGGUUUGGGAAAAUGAUUCUUGGGAUGGUUGAGACUUGAAUUUGCUGUAGAUUAAGAUAGAGCCAAGUGUCAGAAGCGUGUAGGCGAAAACGACAUCAAAUUAACGGUUUGAAUUUUACGCGCGAAAUGGUGAAAAUCGCACUUUUUGAGAAGCAGAUUUCUGGACCUGAUGCUGUCAAAACGUAUCACGAUUUUGCGAGCGUGGUACGAUUUUGUUGGCCGAAAGUUCAAUGGUUAUAAGCAUAAAAACGUGGCACGAUUUUCUAAAAUCGUGACACGAUUUUUGUGAAUCAGAUCCUUCUUAUUUCACUAUUUUUCACCCCUUUCCGCUUUGAACUGGGUUUUGGUGUAAACAUAAAAGUUUUAGAUAAUUUUGUUAGCUUUCCAAUGACUUUGGUUUGACUUGAAAAUGAUUUUUGGUUUUUGAGAUAUGAUGAAAAUACUCCAAGGAGGUCUUAGUGAAAUCUUAUGAAAAUUCAGCAUAACCGUUCUAAGUUAAUCUAAAACUUAUGGAAUAAUUCGAAACCUCAAAACUAGAAGUACCAUGAGUUCAAUUAAGGUGUUUAAGAUUAUUUAACCUAUGUUGUGAUGGAUCUAAUUUGGUUUGACGUGAAUAUCUUUGUUGGAUGAUUUAAUAUCUAUAUGAAUGUAUAUGUUGAUGAAUUUCGUUGUUAAGAGUCGUCCUAUCACAGUUGACCAAGUUGUGUAGUAAGUCAUAAUUAUUUAUGUACAAUUGUUGUUGUCGUUGUCAUUGUCUACGUUGUCGUUGAUGUUGCUGAGUUGUAUGCUGAUAUACACAAAGUUGAGUCCAUUGCAUACUCAUAAAUUGUUGAGGGCUUAUGCCCUGUGAAUGCUAGUUUAUUCAAAAAUGUUGAGGGCUUAUGCCCUGUGAAUGCCUUGUCAUUCAACACGUUAAUUUUAAGUUGAGGGCUCAUGUCUUGUCAUUCAAACUGUUGAGGGCUCAUGCCCUGUGAAUGCUCGUUCAUUCAAAUGCGUUAAAAUGGUACCACAUGCAUGUGCAUUGUCGCAUUUGUCGUUGUGUCGUUGCAUAGUCGUUGUUGUUGGUUGAGUUUGUAGGUGUUGUUAAUGUUGAUGAAAUAUGAAACAAGACUGUUGAAUUAUCCGUUGUUAAUUAGGUUGUUAAAUACAGUUGAUGAUUUAUAUACCUAUUAUUAUUGUUUGUGAAUCUCACCCCUUCUGCUUCGAAAUGUUGCUAUUCGUAUGGGUAACUUGCAGGUGAUCGAGAAUUGUUGAUGUUAGAUGAUGUCGUGAGUGGACCUUCUCUCAUGUGUGUCUUAGGUGCUCUGAUACGUAACGGGAUGAGAAUUUGUUAUCGCUUUCUGUUCCUUACGUAUUGUUUUAAGGACAUGUUGUUGGAACAAUUUUAUGAGAUUUAUGUUGAAGCCUUGGUGCCAAGUUGUUUAAAAGUUGAAUAAUUUCCGUUGCGAUGAAAUAAAUGAUACGUUGUUGAAUUUAAAGGAUGAAUAGUUAUUUAUUCUGUUUAUGAUUUUAUGAAAGAAGUGUGACAUUCCGUUUAUGUUGAAAAUACUUUGAUUUAUAUGUGAUUAUAUGUGAAAUUUUUAAGUUGGGAAAACGAGGUGUUACAACAUAGAGCUCAACAUACAAGAUAUCAUUUGAAUUUUGAAUGUAUCUAGAAAAUCCUCACAAGAAAAAAGAUGCAUAAUUUCUUAAAAUUCCUCCAUAACCUACUCUUAUAGGAGAUCCAAUACAACUUCCAUCAACAUUAAGGAUGACACAAAAAUGAUUAUUGUUGUUCCGCUUGAUGAAUUGGUCUUCAUCAGUAGUACUAAAGAUGGAAGGAUAACAAGCUUAGAGGGUAUCAACCAUACCUUGAAUGUUGAAGGAUAAUUUAGCAUUCGACCAGUUCUCGUUACCUAAGCACAUCAUGUUUCGAUUCCUCCAUGCCCACCAAAUUGUUGCUGCAAAAAGGAAAUAGUAAGGGCCCAUCAACCCAUUCUUAUGUGGUUUGUAUGGGCCAUUUAUUCAACAUUUCACGUGCCCGUCUUUCCACUCUUUUUAUUUCGCUAAUAUUUAAAAAUUAUUAACAGUAUUUUUUUUUUUUAUGAAAUUUUGAUUUGGAUUAAAACUAAAAAUAUGAAUGUUUGUUGCUUUCAAGUUAUAAUAAACUAAACUAACCAUGAUUAUUUAUUUCAAUGACACCAACAAUACAACAACAAAAAAAUAUAAUCCAAAUUCUUUUUUUUUAAUGAAACCAACAACAAUCUUUAUUAAAGAAAAAGUUGUUUAAGAGUAUAAUUGAGAUAAUGAAAAAGUAAGUAUAAAUAUACUCAUCUAGUUUGUUACACUUUUUAAAUGAUAAAGAAAAAAAAACCAUAUAUAUAUAUAUAUAUAUAUAUAUAUAUAUAUAUUCAUAUCGUGUUUUUUACAUUUUUUUAAUAUUUAAAUUUAUUCUUAUCUUUUUGUUAUGUGUUAUUUGUAUUCAAAAUUGAGGGCAUUUUUGAAAGAAAAAGUCAGCCCAAAAGAGUUGAAAAAUGAUUGUUUUAUUUUUAUAUAGCAUAGAUAUAUUACUACUCCCUUCAUCCCUGUAUGUAAGCACCCUUUGCAUUUUUCACAUUUCUUAAGCAAAAAUUGUUAGUGCAAUUAAUGCGUCUAUUUUGUGUGUUAAUAUUACUUAAUUGUCCUUUGUUUAUAUGUGUAUUAAAAUUUACUUUUUAUAUUUCAAGAUAAGUUAGUAGUAUUAAUUAUGGGUAUGUUAAGGAAUAAAAUCAUAAAUGCAUCUAAUAAUUUAAAAAAGAAUUUAUAUUUAAAGACAAAUUUUUAGUCAAAAGAAUACAGGAACAUACCACCACCUAAAAAAAAUUCUCAAAAUUUAGUGCAGGCAACGGCCUACAGACUUAUGUACAUGCAUAUGUCCCUGGUCCCAACAACCUUUUUUUUUUAGGGGACCCUACAACCUGUUAUUAUACUCCUUAAAAGAAAACCUGUUAUUAUAUCAACCAAAUGAAUGUCAAUGUUUUUUUUUUUUUGGUAAUGAAAUGUCAAUGCUUUAUUUCCUUUUACUUUUAAAUUUUGGUUAAAAUAUAAUUUUAGUCCCUUCAAAUAUGUCUCGUUUUGGUUUUAGUCCCUAUAAAAAAAAAAUGUUUUUGGUCCCUGCAAAAUUUUUUGUUUUUGAAAAUAGUCCCUGACCUCACUUUUGUGAUGAUUUGCAUACGUGGCACAUUAUAACUGAACAAAUUUUGUAGUUUUUGGUCCCUGCAAAAUAUUUUGUUUUUAAAAAAGGUCCCUGCAAAAUAUUUUGGUUUUAAAAAAGGUCCCUGCAGGGACCAAAAACAAUUUUUUUUUACAGGGACUAAAACCAAAACGAGGCAUAUUUGCAAGGGCUAAAAUCAUAUUUUAGCCUUAAAUUUUUAUUUACGUUUUUUUUUAUGAGUCAAGAUAGUAAGGAAGACAUCGAGAAAAGUUAAAUAUCUCAACUAAGUUGACACUUUAAAGCUUCUCUCAUCUUGUACCACCUGUUCGAAAAUUUUAUUAAAAAAAGAAAAACUGUAUAAGAGAGGGACUAAGCCAAAACCCUCAAAAACAUAAAACAAGAAUGGUAAAACAUAGAUAUAAGGGAAAUGGAAAUUCGGAAGACCAUGUAUGUCCCUAAAAAAAAUCCUUCCAAAGAAAAAUAGGUAAAAAAAACCCACCAAACGACAUUGAUAAUAACAUGACCAUGACUACCAGUAUUUUAAGAUGACCGUGUAUGUUAAGAUGAAUUUGGAUGACUUUUGGUUGAUGAUAUUGGGGCUUAUGAAGGUACUUUAUGUGAUUACAAAGGUUUUUUUUUAGGAUGUUUUGCAUCUAAUCUAAGACCUAUAUUCAAUCAUUGAAGCGGAAUUGAACAACAUGCUAAUGUUAUUAUUCUGUUAAAAAAAAAAAAAUUCGUACACAAGUUUUAACAUUUUUUCCUCUCUUUUCUCCUUUUCAAACUUUAGCCGUCGCGGAUUUUUUUAUUUAUUGAAAAGUGGUGAUUUAUGGUUAAUUUUGAUGCAAAUCACCCCUCUACAUUGUUUUUCUUUCUUUUAGUUAAAUAAAUGAUUUCCACAUACAUACCCUCAGACUUCAUUAGUUUAUUUUGUGAUUUCGUCGUUUUAGCACGACUUUGUUUGUUUUGAUUUUCCGUCUUUGUGCAAUGUAUUUUUUAUUUCCUAUCUGUGGUGUUUAUACGAUUUCAUGUUAAAAGAUUAGUUUUGAUCAAGUGCAGAUUCAAUCAAUGACUUUGAUAUCGUCAACGUUGCACAUCCGAGCAUAUGAGAAUUCCAUAUACUUGAAUAUAUUCAUAUAUCUUUUAGGCAUUGAAUAUAGUCAUAUUUGUAGGCAUAUCCAUUUUGCCGUUUUAUGUUAUCAACAUGGAUGAUCCUUAAAAAAACAUGGACGAUGCGAUUUUGUUUGCAAAUUCGUCUUUUUUAAUUUUUAGCGACUUUGAGUUUGUAUUAUAAUGAUAUACUCUAUCAAUUUAAAUGAAUGAAUAUCACGUUUUUUUUGUAAAAAUCAAAUAAAAUAAAGAAAGUGCAUACAUUAACAUUACACAUACACGCGCACACGCUAGGGUAACACUUCAAUGCCUUUGGCUUUGGUGCCUUUGGGUGCCUUUGUUCCUAUAUCUCUUAAUCAUUCAUUCAUUCUCAUCUAAAUAAUUUAUUUUAAUUAUUUGUCCAACAUUCUUUCUCAUCUAAAGUGAGGUACUCAAAGACACCAAAACCAAAGGCCCUACCAUACACUAGUGACCGGAUUGUGAAAAAAACCAAAUUGACAUCUUUUCAUUUCACACCUCUUCUUUCAAUAACAUUUCCCUUUACCUAAUUAUAUUUUUUUUAGUAAAACCAGUCGCUUUUUGUGCCAAAAGAAAGAAAACAAAAAUGGUUUCUUCAAAUAAAAUACUAUAAUAAUUUGCAUCCAUAUUGCUAGCUAGUAGCUACUUUAAAUUAACACUUCACUCUACUUGUCUUUCUAUAUAUAUCUUUUUGCAUCAGGAACAUUAUUAGUUACCAAUAAAAAAAAUGGACAAGGAACUUCAACUUUGUUCUGUUGAUGCUGCUGAUGAAGAAGAAAUGGUUUCUCAGCAAAAACCACAAAGAAGCAAGGGUGGUCUUGUCACCAUGCCUUUUAUCAUUGGUAUCUUAUCUAAUAUCUAUGAUUUGCAUGCAUUUUUAUUUUAUUUUUACUUUGAAUGAGCUUGAAUUUUUACGUAUAAUAUGGUUUUGUUGCUGUUGUGAUUGUUUUAUUUGCAGGGAAUGAAGCACUUGCUAAGAUGGCAAGUGUGGGACUAUUACCCAACAUGAUAUUGUAUUUGAUGGGAUCAUACAGACUUCACCUUGGCAUAUCUACUCAGAUACUUCUUUUAUCCUCUGCAGCUAGCAAUUUCACACCUGUGAUUGGUGCUUUUAUUGCAGAUUCUUAUCUUGGUCGCUUCUUAGGUGUCGGAAUAGGUUCUUCUAUCAGUUUCCUGGUAUGAUUUACUUUUUUUUAAUUCCAUUGUGUUUUUCUUAUCUUUUGACUUGAAUAUGCCCAUUAUUAAGUUUAAUUUUGGGAGUGAGUUGAAUAGAUUUGAAUAAUUACUCAAUACAAAUUUUCAACUACGAAAAAUGACAAAAAAUGAAGUUUUAAGCUGAAAAUGACACUUUUUUAACUAAGGAAUUGACUACACAUCUUCCAUAUACCAACAGACGCUUUUAGCAACGGCCAUAAAAUUCAUACAGUAUACGGUGUGUCCGAUAUAUUGAAGAUCAUAGCCUACUUAUAUUGAAUUCAUUCAAAUUAAUUAAAUAUUUAAUUAAUUAUUAUAGUAAUUAAAUAAAAUAUUCAUCAGAUAUAUUUCCUUGUAUGAAAAAGAAGCAUACAAAGGAAAAAUGUUCCACCAAACUUGGUAUAAUGAGAAAAUUUUGUAAUGAUGCUCUUUUUUGUUUGUUGUUAUAGGGAAUGUCACUGUUGUGGUUAACAGCCAUGAUCCCGGCGGCACGGCCUUCUGCUUGCAACCAUCCAUCUGAAGGUUGUGAAUCAGCAACACCAGGUCAAUUGGCAAUGUUAUUCUCUGCCUUAAUUCUGAUAGCAAUUGGAAAUGGUGGUAUUACAUGUUCUUUAGCAUUUGGUGCAGACCAAGUUAAUAGAAAAGAUAAUCCCAAUAACUAUAGGGUUUUGGAAAUAUUCUUCAGUUGGUAUUAUGCUUUCAUAACUAUAGCUGUCAUAAUAGCUCUCACCGGAAUAGUAUAUAUCCAAGAUCAUCUUGGUUGGAGAAUUGGUUUUGGUGUUCCAGCAGCACUCAUGCUUAUAUCCACUGUCUUGUUCUUUCUUGCUUCUCCACUUUAUGUGAAAAUUACACAAAGAACCAGCUUGCUCACUGGUUUUGCACAAGUAUCUGUUGCUGCCUAUAAAAACAGAAAACUUUCAUUGCCACCUAAAACAUCUCCUGAAUUUUACCAUCACAAGAAAGACUCAGACCUUGUUAUUCCAACUGAUAAACUAAGGUAUAUAGAAUCAAAUUACUAGCUAUACCAUCUUUUUAGCUUUUGUGUUUCGUGGUUAAAUAUAGACUAAUGAUGAAUACUUCCUCCAAUCUCUAUUAUAAGAGAAAAUUCACUUUUAAAGUUCAUUCAAUAAAUGAUGUAUAUGUAGUUUCUAAUAUACUCCCUCCGCUCUUAUUUAUAAGAAACAAUUGAUUUUUUUGAUUCAUUGAAUAAAUUAUGUAUUUGGUCUAUAUUUAGACAAGAUACAUCAAUUACUCAGUAAAUCUAAAAAGUCAAAAAUUUCUUAUAAAUAGGACCGGAGGGAGUAGACCAUAUAAAUCAUUUAUUGAAUGAAUCUAAAAAGUGAAUUUUCUCUUAUAAUAGAGACCAGAAUAGUAUAUAUCAGGUGUUGAAAUUUAUUAAUCAUCAAAAUAACUUCAUUAACCACAAAUUUGAAUGUGAUUAAGGAAAAUUUUCAAAGGUUCAAUAAAGUUACAUUGCUAGUUAUUGAGUUUCAACACAUGGUUUAUUCAUUCACCAUCUAUAAAUUGAGCAUAAUUAACCACUAAUUUGUACCAUGUUAAUGUUUAUGGUGUUGUUGCGAAAAUUGCCUAAACUUUGUUACACAAAAACCAUUUCCCAUAUUAAACAUUUGAUUUCAUUUUCAGGUUUCUAAAUAAAGCUUGUGUUAUUAAGGAUCAUGAACAAGAUAUAGCCUCAGAUGGUUCAGCGAUAAAUCGUUGGAGUCUAUGCACAGUAGAUCAAGUUGAAGAACUAAAAGCCAUUAUUAAAGUUAUUCCAUUGUGGUCAACAGCGAUCACAAUGUCUAUUAACAUUGGAGGCUCAUUUGGAUUGCUGCAAGCUAAAUCCUUAGACAGACAUAUCAUUUCAAGUUCAAACUUUGAAGUACCAGCAGGAUCUUUUUCUGUUAUCUUGAUAGUUGCAAUAUUAAUAUGGAUAAUUAUCUAUGAUCGUGUUCUUAUUCCUUUAGCAUCAAAGAUAAGAGGGAAGCCCGUAAUUAUCAGCCCAAAGAAAAGAAUGGGAAUUGGGUUGUUUUUUAAUUUUCUUCACUUGAUAACUGCAGCAAUUUUUGAGACUGUAAGGAGAAAGGAAGCAAUCAAAGAAGGAUAUUUGAAUGAUACUCAUGGAGUGUUGAAAAUGUCUGCAAUGUGGCUUGCACCUCAACUUUGUUUGGCUGGUAUAGCAGAAAUGUUCAAUGUUAUUGGCCAGAAUGAGUUUUAUUACAAAGAGUUUCCAAAGAGUAUGUCUAGUGUUGCUGCUUCCCUUUCUGGAUUGGCAAUGGGUGUAGGAAACUUGGUAUCCUCUUUAGUAUUGAGCAUUAUAGAAAGCACUACUCCAAGUGGAGGAAAUGAAGGGUGGGUUUCUGAUAAUAUUAACAAAGGUCAUUUCGACAAGUAUUAUUGGGUUAUAGUUGGAAUUAAUGCUCUAAAUCUAUUGUAUUACUUAGUAUGCAGUUGGGCUUAUGGACCUACAGUUGAUGAAGUAUCCAAUGUGAGUAAAGAAAAUGGUUCCAAAGUGGAAGAAUCAACUGAAUUCAAGCAUAUGAAUCCACACUUUGAUGACAAGGUUAGUGGUGAAACUAGUUCAAAGGAGAAAGAGUUAACUGAAUUCAAGAAU
Molecule: long non-coding RNA, 11267 nt
Filed under: Medicago truncatula (barrel medic)
Lineage: Eukaryota; Viridiplantae; Streptophyta; Magnoliopsida; Fabales; Fabaceae
Description: long non-coding RNA (MTRU_LNC000039)
Source: RNAcentral